AUGGCAAAACACAGGCGCAGCAGCCGGAGAGCCAAGAAAGCCCCUGGGGAAGGSGGCCGAGGGGGUUUUCAGGCACGGGAUGCUCCAACUGCUCUGGAGCGGGGCCGUGCUGGAGCCUUCCAAGCUCAUUUCGGARGCAGGGACGUUUCCAAGGCCCAGGGGGUUAUUUCCCACCUGGGAACCRUGUGGGAGCCUGCGGAUGCUCCUCCGGAGGGUGGAAAGGUGCAAGCUGAACCGCUGCGAGCYGGGCGCCCCUUCCUUGCUCGGGAUAGCCGGAGAGGGGGAGACGGCAGCCGGGAGCAUUGGCGGGCGAGCGGCGGUGGGCUCACGCUGGAAACCCCCAGGAGCGAGCGUCGCGGGCUCGGGCCACGCACGGAGGCGGACGCGUGUCCUCGGCUGGCGGAGGGAAGGGUGACGCCGCGCUGGGGAAGCGGCCGCCACUUCCUCCUGCCACCACGCACCCUUUUAGGUCCCCUUCGUCCUGCGAAGGGCGGGCCGGGCCUCCCGGAGCUCUGCCGCAGCCCAGGCCUGGCUCGGCGAGCAGAGGCCGGAGCUGCGGGGUCCCGGGGGAAGCAACGGGGUCCUCGGCCCCCCCAGCAGCAGACGGCCCCGCAGGAAGAGCCUUUGCCGGGCACGUGGAGCAGCGGCCGGGCAGCGCAGGGGUGGUUUAAAGCCCAGCUGCCCCCGACCCGCGAGGCUGCUAUGGGCCAAAGCACAAAACCGACCUGCCGAAACCUCGGCGCCCAGCUUCCCUCCGCGCCCUGCACGCACGCCGGGAUCUCCCUGCGCGCCCUCCUCUCCGAGGAGGAUUUUACUUGCUUGCCCAGGGCUCGCAGCAGCGGCGGCCGCUUCAAGGGGGGUGUUUUAAUUAAAAGAAAAAAAAUCAACGCGAGGGCCAGCGGGCAGCGUUCCGGGCGGGAGGGAGGAAGAUGCUCCCAAGCAGCCCCCCAAAGGCAGCACCUGCCGCACAGCGUAAGCCGGGCGCCCGCCCGGUGCCACGACGGCAGGGAGCCCGGCCGGGCACCCGCGGCCCCUCGCCCGCACCUGGGCCGCCGCCGCCGCCGAGCGCGGCUCAGCCCGGGCCGGGAAACACCCGCGGGGCAAAGGCACCGGCGACUCGCGGCCUUGCUCGGCGGCCCGAGGGGGAGGUCGGGGCUCUUCGGCCUCGACGCCCGGCCCGCUCGCGGGGGAACCGGCGGGGUGUCGGCACCG
Apteryx haastii (Great spotted kiwi) is the source of this 1212-nucleotide long non-coding RNA. The record is from Ensembl. Lineage: Eukaryota; Metazoa; Chordata; Aves; Apterygiformes; Apterygidae.